RNAcentral lists this ribosomal RNA (431 nucleotides) under uncultured bacterium. RNAcentral describes it as "partial 16S ribosomal RNA". It matches the Rfam family "Bacterial small subunit ribosomal RNA", at positions 29 to 507 of the family's 1533-position model. The record is from RNAcentral.
AACGAACGCUGGCGGCAGGCCUAACACAUGCAAGUCGAACGCCCCCCCAGGGGGGCGGCGCUCGGGUGAGUGGCGCGUGGGAAAGUACCUUUUGGUUCGGCGCAACUCACGGAUACUGGGGCUAUAACCGGGGAAGACUUACCCGGGUAAGAUUUACCACCGAAGGAUCGGAGCGCGACUGAUUAGCUCGUUGGGCGGGUAAAGGCUCACCAAGCGGACGAUCUACAGCUGGUCUGAGAGGAUGAUCAGCGACACUUGGACUGAGACGCAGCGCAGAAUCCUACGGGAUGCAGCAGUGGGUAAUAUAGGACAAUGGGCGCAGGCCAGAUCGAGCCAGGCCGCGUGAGUGAUGAAGGCCGGAGGGUAGUAAAGCACGUUUAUCCGGGAAGGUAAUGACGGUACCGGAAGAAUAAGCCCCGGCUAACUUCGUG